RNAcentral lists this ribosomal RNA (1429 nucleotides) under uncultured organism. Its description in RNAcentral is "16S ribosomal RNA". It matches the Rfam family "Bacterial small subunit ribosomal RNA". The record is from RNAcentral.
ACACAUGCAAGUCGAGGGGCAGCAUUUUUUUAUCAAUAGAAGAGAUGGCGACCGGCGCACGGGUGAGUAACACGUAUCCAACCUACCGAUAACUCUGGAAUAGCCUUUCGAAAGAAAGAUUAAUACCGGAUAGUAUACGAAUAUCGCAUGAUAUUUUUAUUAAAGAAUUUCGGUUAUCGAUGGGGAUGCGUUCCAUUAGUUUGUUGGCGGGGUAACGGCCCACCAAGACUACGAUGGAUAGGGGUUCUGAGAGGAAGGUCCCCCACAUUGGAACUGAGACACGGUCCAAACUCCUACGGGAGGCAGCAGUGAGGAAUAUUGGUCAAUGGGCGCAGGCCUGAACCAGCCAAGUAGCGUGAAGGAUGAAGGCUCUAUGGGUCGUAAACUUCUUUUAUAUGGGAAUAAAGUUUUCCCCGUGUGGAAUUUUGUAUGUACCAUAUGAAUAAGGAUCGGCUAACUCCGUGCCAGCAGCCGCGGUAAUACGGAGGAUCCGAGCGUGAUCCGGAUUUAUUGGGUUUAAAGGGAGCGUAGGUGGAUUGUUAAGUCAGUUGCGAAAGUUUGCGGCUCAACCGUAAAAUUGCAGUUGAAACUGGUAGUCUUGAGUACAGUAGAGGUGGGCGGAAUUCGUGGUGUAGCGGUGAAAUGCUUAGAUAUCACGAAGAACUCCGAUUGCGAAGGCAGCUCACUAGACUGUAACUGACACUGAUGCUCGAAAGUGUGGGUAUCAAACAGGAUUAGAUACCCUGGUAGUCCACACAGUAAACGAUGAAUACUCGCUGUUUGCGAUAUACAGUAAGCGGCCAAGCGAAAGCAUUAAGUAUUCCACCUGGGGAGUACGCCGGCAACGGUGAAACUCAAAGGAGUUGACGGGGGCCCGCACAAGCGGAGGAACAUGUGGUUUAAUUCGAUGAUACGCGAGGAACCUUACCCGGGCUUAAAUUGCAACAGAAUAUAUUGGAAACAGUAUAGCCGUAAGGCUGUUGUGAAGGUGCUGCAUGGUUGUCGUCAGCUCGUGCCGUGAGGUGUCGGCUUAAGUGCCAUAACGAGCGCAACCCUUAUCUUUAGUUACUAACAGGUCAUGCUGAGGACUCUAGAGAGACUGCCGUCGUAAGAUGUGAGGAAGGUGGGGAUGACGUCAAAUCAGCACGGCCCUUACGUCCGGGGCUACACACGUGUUACAAUGGGGGGUACAGAAGGCAGCUACACGGCGACGUGAUGCUAAUCCCAAAAACCUCUCUCAGUUCGGAUCGAAGUCUGCAACCCGACUUCGUGAAGCUGGAUUCGCUAGUAAUCGCGCAUCAGCCAUGGCGCGGUGAAUACGUUCCCGGGCCUUGUACACACCGCCCGUCAAGCCAUGAAAGCCGGGGGUACCUGAAGUACGUAACCGCAAGGAGCGUCCUAGGGUAAAACUGGUAAUUGGGGCUAAGUC